CGCGGCGUGGCGCUGGUAGAGCGCGGUGGCCUCCAGCGCCAUCGGGCUGUCGACGAAGAUCGGCAGUUCGAUCGGGAUCGCGCCGCGG
This 88-nucleotide transfer RNA is filed under the name Rubrivivax sp. RNAcentral's name for it is "tRNA-Trp". The record is from RNAcentral. Lineage: Bacteria; Pseudomonadati; Pseudomonadota; Betaproteobacteria; Burkholderiales; Sphaerotilaceae.